RNAcentral lists this ribosomal RNA (492 nucleotides) under uncultured bacterium. RNAcentral describes it as "partial 16S ribosomal RNA". It matches the Rfam family "Bacterial small subunit ribosomal RNA", at positions 29 to 507 of the family's 1533-position model. The record is from RNAcentral.
AGUGAACGCUGGCGGUAGGCCUAACACAUGCAAGUCGAACGGCAGCACAGUAAGAGCUUGCUCUUACGGGUGGCGAGUGGCGGACGGGUGAGGAAUACAUCGGAAUCUACUUUUUCGUGGGGGAUAACGUAGGGAAACUUACGCUAAUACCGCAUACGACCUACGGGUGAAAGCAGGGGAUCUUCGGACCUUGCGCGAUUGAAUGAGCCGAUGUCGGAUUAGCUAGUUGGCGGGGUAAAGGCCCACCAAGGCGACGAUCCGUAGCUGGUCUGAGAGGAUGAUCAGCGGCACUGGAACUGAGACACGGUACAGACUCCUACGAGAGGCAGCAGUGGGGAAUAUUGGACAAUGGGCGCAAGCCUGAUCCAGCCAUGCCGCGUGGGUGAAGAAGGCCUUCGGGUUGUAAAGCCCUUUUGUUGGGAAAGAAGAGCAGCAGGUUAAUACCGCGCUGUUCUGACGGUACCCAAAGAAUAAGCACCGGCUAACUUCGUG